This 468-nucleotide ribosomal RNA is filed under the name uncultured bacterium. RNAcentral describes it as "partial 16S ribosomal RNA". It matches the Rfam family "Bacterial small subunit ribosomal RNA", at positions 28 to 507 of the family's 1533-position model. The record is from RNAcentral.
GACGAACGCUGGCGGCGUGCUUAACACAUGCAAGUCGAACGGAAAGGCCCUGCUUUUGUGGGGUGCUCGAGUGGCGAACGGGUGAGUAACACGUGAGUAACCUGCCCUUGACUUUGGGAUAACUUCAGGAAACUGGGGCUAAUACCGGAUAGGAGCUCCUGCUGCAUGGUGGGGGUUGGAAAGUUUCGGCGGUUGGGGAUGGACUCGCGGCUUAUCAGCUUGUUGGUGGGGGAGUGGCUUACCAAGGGUUUGACGGGUAGCCGGCCUGAGAGGGUGACCGGCCACAUUGGGACUGCGGUACGGACCAGACUCCUAUGUGAGGCAGCAGUGGGGAAUAUUGUACAGUGGGCGGAAGCCUGAUGCAGAAGCGCCGCGUGCGGGAUGACGGCCUUCGGGUUGUAAACCGCUUUCGCCUGUGACGAAGCGUGAGUGACGGUAAUGGGUGAAGAAGCACCGGCUAACUACGUG